Molecule: ribosomal RNA, 83 nt
Filed under: uncultured Flavobacteriaceae bacterium
Lineage: Bacteria; Pseudomonadati; Bacteroidota; Flavobacteriia; Flavobacteriales; Flavobacteriaceae
Description: partial 23S ribosomal RNA
Source: RNAcentral
UACAAGCUUAUUAAGGGCGUAUGGGGAAUGCCUAGGCUCUCAGAGGCGAAGAAAGACGUGAUAAGCUGCGAAAAGCUGCGGGG